RNAcentral lists this long non-coding RNA (610 nucleotides) under Equus asinus (donkey). RNAcentral describes it as "lncRNA (ENSEASG00005025704.1)". The record is from RNAcentral. Lineage: Eukaryota; Metazoa; Chordata; Mammalia; Perissodactyla; Equidae.
GCUGGCUUUUGGCAGGAGGCCUUAGUUCUUCGUCAUGUGGCAUCUCCAUAGGGCUGCUUGAGUCUCCGUAAGGCUCCACAUGGCCACUGACUUCCCCAGCGCAAGUGAUCUGAGAGAGAGCAGGGCCAAGCUGCACUGUCUUUAAUGACCCCGUCUUGGAAGCCACACUCCAUCAUUCCCACACUUUUCUUGGUGACACAGCUCAGCCCUAUUCCAUGUGGAGGGGACAACACAAGGGCGUGACUACCAGGAGAAUCAGCGAAGUCUCUCCUAAGUGAUCAAUGAAGACAAAUGCUCCAGAAAUACCUAGAGGAAAAGCGGCUGAAAAAAUUAAGAGAGAAACCUCAGCGACGACCAUUUAUAGUGGGUAUUUAUAGACCUGAUAAGCCUAUUAUGCUUUCAUCAAUACCAGCACACCAACCAAAAAAGAUAAUAAAACAGAAAGAAAAGUACCCAAUCAGGGAAGCCCUGCCAAAAAGAUCGAAGAAGAACCAGGCAAGGUCAUUUCUUUUAAAGUUGAUAGUGAAGAAAAUACUUUGGAAUCACAAACCAGUGUGACAAACGGAAGGGAUCCAGAUGGGGUCUUAAAGUUACCUAAGGCAGAUCCUGC